This 1076-nucleotide long non-coding RNA is filed under the name Ananas comosus (pineapple). RNAcentral's name for it is "long non-coding RNA (ACOM_LNC017811)". Lineage: Eukaryota; Viridiplantae; Streptophyta; Magnoliopsida; Poales; Bromeliaceae. The record is from RNAcentral.
ACGUUAGACCUAAAGACGGUGAACGAGUCACCGUCUUUGUGAGAAAUGCUGAUGUGGCGGCUGAGGUGGCGAGAGGAGGGUUAGUUUUACAAAUAAAAGUUUCACAGGGUUAUUUUGGCAAUUACGAAAUUUCACAGGGUUAUUUUCGAAAAAAGUCCUUUAUAUACGUAUUUCAUAUAUAUAUAUAUGUGUGUGUGUGUGUGUGUGUGUGUGUGUGUGUGUUUGCGUUAAACAAGUGUAUAUGGUGAACACCUCAUGGGCAUUUAUUAUUAUUAUUAUUAUUAUUAUUAUUAUUAUGGUUUAGCCAAUAAUAAUAAUAAUAAUAAUUUUAUUAUUAUUAUUUAGAAGAGGGUAUUUUGAUUAUGACCAGCUUAAUCGGAGAUAGCCCGGAUGUGACGAGAGGGAGUAAUUAACCGGAUACCUACGGGUACCCGGGAAGUGUGAACCGUUUAUCUCUGAUGGUUAUUAUCUAUUACACUAUAUAUUUCUUUUCUCGUUGCUAAAGAAUAUAUAGUCCAAAAAAAAAUACAAAACAAAAAAAAGGAUAAAAAAAUUUGCACCCCUAAUAAAUUCCCACUCUUAUUCCACUUCCACACCUCUUAAUUAUUUAUUUAAAUCUUUUUCGUUUUUCCGUCUGUUCAUUUUUCGUGAAAACAGAUGUCACUUUUCAAAAGUGUCAAUUUUGGUACUUCAUUUUAUGCUAAGUAAGUGUGUGACAAUCAAAAAAAAUUUACGAAUGGCCAUGGGGAUUGGAACAUUGGUCACUGAUAGGGCAUCAAGCAGCCUAUUACGAACUUAUUUUUUUCAAAUAAAUUCUUAAAAAAAUUAUAAUUUAUUAAAUAUCUUUAUCAAAAUUAUUUUGUAUAUUUUUUUUAAAAAUGAUAAACAAUUCACUGUUUCUUUCUAUUUUCUUUAUAGAAUCUUUGCAAUCAUAUAAAAAUUUCAACAAAUCAUGUAUUCACCUAAUUUUAACAAUUAAACAAAAAUUCUAAUAAUCCACAUAAAUUCUAAGAAACUUACAAAAAUCCUCACAUCCCGUACAAAAAAUUGAUCAUCCACAAAAUCUUAAAAAAUUU